This 404-nucleotide ribosomal RNA is filed under the name uncultured bacterium. Its description in RNAcentral is "bacterial SSU rRNA". It matches the Rfam family "Bacterial small subunit ribosomal RNA", at positions 355 to 774 of the family's 1533-position model. The record is from RNAcentral.
CUAAGAAUCUUGCGCAAUGGGCGAAAGCCUGACGCAGCAAUUCCGCGUGGGGGACGAAGGCCCUCGGGUCGUAAACCCCUUUUGCGAGGGAAGAAGUUCUGACGGUACCUCGCGAAUAAGCCACGGCUAACUACGUGCCAGCAGCCGCGGUAAUACGUAGGUGGCGAGCGUUGUCCGGAUUCAUUGGGCGUAAAGAGCCCGCAGGCGGCCUGUUAAGUUUCAGGUGAAAUCUCCCGGCUCAACUGGGAGGGGUCCUGGAAAACUGGCAGGCUUGAGGCAGGGAGAGGGAUGUGGAAUUCCCGGUGUAGUGGUGAAAUGCGUAGAUAUCGGGAGGAACACCAGUGGCGAAGGCGGCAUCCUGGCCCUGUCCUGACGCUCAGGGGCGAAAGCGUGGGGAGCAAACC